This is a long non-coding RNA of Sapajus apella (tufted capuchin), 1017 nucleotides long. RefSeq lists it as uncharacterized. Lineage: Eukaryota; Metazoa; Chordata; Mammalia; Primates; Cebidae. The transcript has 4 exons. The record is from RefSeq and is a predicted model, not a curated record.
GUGUGAGUCUGUAGUUGCAGCUACUCGGGAAGCUGAGGCAGGAGAGGCCACAGCAAACCAAGAUCAUGCCACUGAACUCCAGCCUGGGUGACAGAGACUUUGUCUUGAAAGAACAAACAAGUAUCGUAUCUUUUACAGACAUAUACCAAGACAGUCAGGGGGAAAUUAUGUGAUGCAUGGGAUUUGCUAUAAAAUCAAGAGAGGAAGAGGAGAAGCGUGUAGGAGUGUACAUGUAAUGAGAUUGGCCACAAGAUAACAAAUAUCUGAAUCUGCUGCUGAGUAGGGGAAAGCUCACGACACUAGCCUCUUGUUCAGAAAACUCUAGAAUAGAAAGUUUGUCUAAAAAUCCACUUCGUGGAUUUGUAACAAGCAUUGAAUAAGAUCAUGUAUACAGAGUGCUUUAUCACCACGGCUUGCAGGUAGUCAGCACACAAACAUUGUUUUUAGUUCUGUAUAGUCCCUGUCCAUUAAUCACAUCCAAAAAAGAUAUGUUGUUGACACCAAGAGCUCUGGCCCGUGGAUCUUUGUCCACUUGGUGGUAAUUUAUUGGAAUUUGAGGUUUAGAAUGAGGAAAUGCCAGCCUUCAAAGCCCCAGGCCUACUAUGAAAUAGCAAAUCCAACAGUCCCACAUGCCUUCGUAGCAUACCUAGUAAGUAGGACCACUUUUCUCUGACCUUGUAGGCACUCUUGUUCAUUCACUCACUAUUUUUCAUUCAUUUCUUAUAUGCCAUGUAUUGGGUGCUAGGGACCCAUAAUACAGUGGACCCAUAAUUGGCUGGAAGGAUCACUUUCAAAGCAUCGUUUCAGGAUGAGUAUUUCAUGUCAAGUGGAUUCAAGGAACAGUGUGAAGGAUCCAUGGCCUCAGUCACCAUGAAGAACCUCCCAGGAGCCGGCCCUACUGGGCACAUGUUUGGCUGGCCGCGCCAAAAGCUGGGCAAAAAAAAAAAUGGAAGCGUAAGAACAUUUGCCCCGUUGAAAGUGAAGCUCCUGCUGACCACCCAGAGGAGGGUACCCUUG